RNAcentral lists this ribosomal RNA (1297 nucleotides) under metagenome. Its description in RNAcentral is "bacterial SSU rRNA". It matches the Rfam family "Bacterial small subunit ribosomal RNA", at positions 8 to 1326 of the family's 1533-position model. The record is from RNAcentral.
AGAGUUUGAUCCUGGCUCAGGACGAACGCUGGCGGCGCGCCUAACACAUGCAAGUCGAACGAGCGAGAGAGAGCUUGCUUUCUUGAGCGAGUGGCGAACGGGUGAGUAACGCGUGAGGAACCUGCCUCAAAGAGGGGGACAACAGUUGGAAACGACUGCUAAUACCGCAUAAGCCCACGGCUCGGCAUCGAGCAGAGGGAAAAGGAGCAAUCCGCUUUGAGAUGGCCUCGCGUCCGAUUAGCUAGUUGGUGAGGUAACGGCCCACCAAGGCGACGAUCGGUAGCCGGACUGAGAGGUUGAACGGCCACAUUGGGACUGAGACACGGCCCAGACUCCUACGGGAGGCAGCAGUGGGGAAUAUUGCACAAUGGGGGAAACCCUGAUGCAGCGACGCCGCGUGGAGGAAGAAGGUCUUCGGAUUGUAAACUCCUGUUGUUGAGGAAGAUAAUGACGGUACUCAACAAGGAAGUGACGGCUAACUACGUGCCAGCAGCCGCGGUAAAACGUAGGUCACAAGCGUUGUCCGGAAUUACUGGGUGUAAAGGGAGCGCAGGCGGGAAGACAAGUUGGAAGUGAAAUCCAUGGGCUCAACCCAUGAACUGCUUUCAAAACUGUUUUUCUUGAGUAGUGCAGAGGUAGGCGGAAUUCCCGGUGUAGCGGUGGAAUGCGUAGGUAUCGGGAGGAACACCAGUGGCGAAGGCGGCCUACUGGGCACCAACUGACGCUGAGGCUCGAAAGUGUGGGUAGCAAACAGGAUUAGAUACCCUGGUAGUCCACACUGUAAACGAUGAUUACUAGGUGUUGGAGGAUUGACCCCUUCAGUGCCGCAGUUAACACAAUAAGUAAUCCACCUGGGGAGUACGACCGCAAGGUUGAAACUCAAAGGAAUUGACGGGGGCCCGCACAAGCAGUGGAGUAUGUGGUUUAAUUCGACGCAACGCGAAGAACCUUACCAAGUCUUGACAUCCUGCGACGCACAUAGAAAUAUGUGUUUCCUUCGGGACGCAGAGACAGGUGGUGCAUGGUUGUCGUCAGCUCGUGUCGUGAGAUGUUGGGUUAAGUCCCGCAACGAGCGCAACCCUUAUGGUCAGUUACUACGCAAGAGGACUCUGGCCAGACUGCCGUUGACAAAACGGAGGAAGGUGGGGAUGACGUCAAAUCAUCAUGCCCUUUAUGACUUGGGCUACACACGUACUACAAUGGCGUUAAACAAAGAGAAGCAAGACCGCGAGGUGGAGCAAAACUCAGAAACAACGUCCCAGUUCGGACUGCAGGCUGCAACUCGCCUGCACGAAGU